This 74-nucleotide transfer RNA is filed under the name Heterodermia speciosa. Its description in RNAcentral is "tRNA-Trp". It matches the Rfam family "tRNA". From Rfam's summary of the family: Transfer RNA (tRNA) molecules are approximately 80 nucleotides in length. Their secondary structure includes four short double-helical elements and three loops (D, anti-codon, and T loops). Further hydrogen bonds mediate the characteristic L-shaped molecular structure. tRNAs have two regions of fundamental functional importance: the anti-codon, which is responsible for specific mRNA codon recognition, and the 3' end, to which the tRNAs corresponding amino acid is attached (by aminoacyl-tRNA synthetases). tRNAs cope with the degeneracy of the genetic code in two manners: having more than one tRNA (with a specific anti-codon) for a particular amino acid; and 'wobble' base-pairing, i.e. permitting non-standard base-pairing at the 3rd anti-codon position. Lineage: Eukaryota; Fungi; Ascomycota; Lecanoromycetes; Caliciales; Physciaceae. The record is from RNAcentral.
UAAAAGUGUAGUUUAAUUGGUAAAACAGGAAGCUUCAAACUUUUAGUUUUCAGUUCGAGUCUGAGCACUUUUGU